Molecule: non-coding RNA, 2629 nt
Organism: Sus scrofa (pig)
Lineage: Eukaryota; Metazoa; Chordata; Mammalia; Artiodactyla; Suidae
Source: RefSeq, a predicted model, not a curated record
GUUCCACAAGUGCAGCACGUACUCCCGCGGUCCCUCCUCCCAGAUUUCCUUGCAUUCGGACCAAAUCAUCCCUGCGGGAAAGUGAGAAGUUCUGUUUUAGAAAAAGAAUCCUGAUUUCUACUAGCAGCCAAGAUGGAGCAAUACACUGGGAAAAAGAAAAGAGACUCUUUUCAGGCUUUGGACACCUCACAGCCGUGUGAGCCUUCAGUAAAGAGAAACAGCGAGGCUGCCAUCUACCUCAGAGAGUGAUUCUGUUUCCUAUUUAGAGAGAAGUUGGAUGCUCUUUAUUCCCUCAACUUUUCCCUUAAUUCCCUCCACUUUGCUCCUGUUGGUGGUAGUUAGUGCUUUUUUGCCAAAUAGCUCCACCCCCCCCCUCCUUUCAAAUGCCUGACAGGAUUAUACAGGACUUCCUGGUCCCUUUUGUGGUGGGGUGGGGAUGUGACCAGCAGUGGUCAGUGAAUUGUAAGCAGAAAAACUGUGUGUCGCUUCUACGUGAAAGCCUUUAUUGCUGAUGGGAGACUCUCCGGGGCCGGAUCUCCCUUUGGCAGGGUGGAAACGUUUGAGCUAGUGGCUAGUCUGUCAGCCUGGGCUCCUGAGUGAAGCCUCUGGAUUCUGUUGCAUGACAGAAAUAAGAUGAGCCAUAAAUAAACCUUCUUUUGUUAAAAGCCACCACAGCUUUGUUUUUGCUUGUUAACACAGCAGGUGUUUAUCUACCUUGACUAAUAGCCUGUCCCUUUUGCUCAAUAAUUAUGACACAUCCACAUCCAACCUUUUUGCCUUCCAGCCUUUCUUAGGGGAAGAGCUGUCUCUCUUUCUAUCCUAAUUUUACAACCACUCUGGUUAAGACCUCCAGUGGCUUCCUGUUGUUCCUAAAAAAGGGACAAAACCAACAUUCUUUAGCACGAUCUAUAGACCUCUGCAUGGUCUGGCCCCUGUCCGCUUCUUCGGACUCAUCCCACACCCUGCUUUUCCUCAUGCCUUCUGACUUGGCCACAUUUGCAUUUGUCCAGUUCCUCUUAUAUGUUGUAUUUCUUCUCACCACAGGGCCUUUGUAUAUGCUUUGAGCCACUUUGAACAUGUUCUUUCUGCCAGAAAUGUCCUCCCCACUUCUGGUUAAGCUUGAGUUCCUCUGAGAAGCCUUUAUGGACCUCUCUGAUGAGGUCACAUCUACUUUUUGAAGAUACAAUACUGCAUUUUUCUGUUUCAUAACACUUCAGUUGGAACAUUACAAUAUAUUGGGGGUGAUGUUUUGAUUAAUAUCUGUCUUCCCCGUGAUGAGUGACAUCCUGUCAUUUUUAUUCAUUACAACACCCUCAGUAAUGAGCACAGCAUCCUUUGUGAUCACUCAAUGAAAGUUUGUUGAAUGCAGGUAUGGAUGCAUGAAUACAGUUAUACUGUCCAGUUUGGUAACCACUGGCCACAUGUGCCUACUGAAAUUUUUAUUGAACAGUUAAAAAUUCAGUUUCAUAAUUACAUUAACUACAUUGCAAGUGCGAGUUAGCCAUGUGAGGCUGGUGGCUACCAUACUGGAUAGUAGAAAAUAGAACGUCUCCAACAUCACAGACACUUCUCUAAGAUUGCGCUGGCGGGGUAAAGUCAAGGGCUCGUACGUGGCUUACAAUACCCCAAAGGAUCUGGUUCUGACAAGCCUCCCAGUUUGUUUCUUUCCCACAGCAGCACAGCCACGGGGAGAUGCUCACCCCCUCUGCACAGGUUCCUUUCCGAAACAUGCCACUCUUCCUUAGAUGUCUGUGCCUUUUCAACUUGAACCUCUCUCCACAUAAAUUGCCAUCCCAUCCAGAACCUCUCAUCCUUUAACCCUCAUCUCAAGCAUUUCUCCUCUUGGGAACCUUGUCCUGAGGUCCAGACUGAGCUGGUCAGUGCUUCCUCUGACCUCCAUGCUAUCCCCUUUCAUUCCUGUUUGCCUUGUUCAGGCAGGAUUGCAAUGUUUGUUCACACCCCUCUCUCCACUUCUCCACGAGCCCCUUGGGGGCAAGGCAUGGGUCUUCUCAUUCUCUCCAGGGCUCAGGUGAGAACUGGUGGUGUAGUAGACAUCGCUGAAUGUUUAAGUGAUGAGUGAGGCAGUGAAUGAAAAUCACAGGGGGCGUUUCCUUGGUACAACGGUAUGAGGAAAAAGGGAACUGUGUUCCAAGUAGGGCUAGUGAGGGUCCCACCUGCAUUCCCCACCCCCUCCCCUGGUCCUGCCCCAGGUCUUUAUUUCCUGUGAUGCCAGCUUUCUGGGCCACGAAUCACCCAUGAGGUUGGCACCUGUGAAAUUCUGUAAUCUGGCGGGUGCAGCUGAGUGGAGCUCUUCUUGAGGAGAGUGGGUGGAUCUCAUCAGUUGGAAGGAAAGAUGUUUGGCACCAUGGUUAUAUCCUCCACAUCAAGCCACGUGCCAAGAUGCUAGAACACGGGCACACCCGGAAGUCUCAAAGAGGUAACUGCCAUGAAUUCCACCUUGCUCAGCUAGCGAAGUGCAGAGGCUGUUGCCGUUACGGUCAGAGCAUAUCUGUCUGCACCUUACCCAUCACACUGAUGGCUCUUUUAGGGUAAAACUGUCCUCAGGAUCCCUGGCUGGCUGAUCACUGCCUGUAGAGCUUAUAGGUGGUGGCUAAAACAACUUGUCCAA